ACGAACGCUGGCGGCGUGCUUAACACAUGCAAGUCGAACGGAAAGGCCCUGCUUUUGUGGGGUGCUCGAGUGGCGAACGGGUGAGUAACACGUGAGUAACCUGCCCUUGACUUUGGGAUAACUUCAGGAAACUGGGGCUAAUACCGGAUAGGAGCUCCUGCUGCAUGGUGGGGGUUGGAAAGUUUCGGCGGUUGGGGAUGGACUCGCGGCUUAUCAGCUUGUUGGUGGGGUAGUGGCUUACCAAGGCUUUGACGGGUAGCCGGCCUGAGAGGGUGACCGGCCACAUUGGGACUGAGAUACGGCCCAGACUCCUACGGGAGGCAGCAGUGGGGAAUAUUGCACAAUGGGCGGAAGCCUGAUGCAGCAACGCCGCGUGCGGGAUGACGGCCUUCGGGUUGUAAACCGCCUUCGCCUGUGACGAAGCGUGAGUGACGGUAAUGGGUAAAGAAGCACCGGCUAACUACGU
This 466-nucleotide ribosomal RNA is filed under the name uncultured bacterium. RNAcentral's name for it is "partial 16S ribosomal RNA". It matches the Rfam family "Bacterial small subunit ribosomal RNA", at positions 29 to 506 of the family's 1533-position model. The record is from RNAcentral.